GAAGCUUUGCAGGCAUUUCCUUGACAUUCUAGAACCUUACGAUCACUUCCGAAAUUCCGUAAAGGCGCAGCGAAUGGAAUAACAAACACCCCCACCCCACGUAGAAGAUCAAAACGGGUCUCUCUUCUCCAUCUGCGUUCGCACCACUUCAGGAGCGCAAAGGGUUAAGCGUUUCCCUAUGCAAAUGAAGUCGGAGUUGGCAGCCACGUGUGUCGCUCGCGAGGGGAAGGAAAGCAAGCGCUGAUCGCUCGCUUCGCUCUCGGUCUUUGCAGCAGCCCGCUGGGACAAUCAGCGGCCCAGCAGCUGGCUGGCUGACUGCGAUUCCCUUACCUAUUCCAGCGUGGAAGGCAAGAUUUUGUUUAACCCGGGCAGGCUGGGCAGUGCCUGAACAACCAGGGGACUCCGCGGAGCCUUGCUCGGCAGCAAGCAAGGCCUCUUUUUCGUGGCGUCGUUCGUUUUGUUAUCAGAGAGAGUCACAUGAUAGGGAGCGGAGGGCAUUUCCCAGCAAAUGCAUGGAGUUUCAGCGAGCCCGCUUACAUAGUGGAGUCCACACAUUCAGGAUCUCUACUCCAUGACUGCAACGUCAAGUGAUGACGUGCAUCAAUGUGUGAAAACUAUCAUAGCAGAACUAACAUCACGGAUGAAGCUUCUCUGUAACCUGGCAGCACCUCAUACACAAUAAUCUUCGAUGAAGGCCAUUCUCAUUUCAUUCAGGAGUCAUCACAGAAUAAGCCAUCCAGCGGUGUGUAUUGACUGCAAAAGAGGCAGAAAGAGGGCUGGAGGAGGAGGGAGACCACUGUCGCAGCUACAAUCCUGGCAGCACAUCUGGAGAAAGGUCUGCAAAACGUUCGGAUGCAAAGUGCCUACCAAGAUGUUUGAAAGGUGUAGCCUAGCCUCUGUCAUUCUUUGGAGCACCUGCCUCUAUGGACAGCAAGGUUGUGCAUUUGUGGAUUAAAUGUGGCAUGUGUGUGUGA
This is a long non-coding RNA of Hemicordylus capensis (graceful crag lizard), 974 nucleotides long. RefSeq lists it as uncharacterized. Lineage: Eukaryota; Metazoa; Chordata; Lepidosauria; Squamata; Cordylidae. The transcript is spliced from 2 exons. The record is from RefSeq and is a predicted model, not a curated record.